Molecule: long non-coding RNA, 211 nt
Filed under: Daucus carota (carrot)
Lineage: Eukaryota; Viridiplantae; Streptophyta; Magnoliopsida; Apiales; Apiaceae
Description: long non-coding RNA (DCAR_LNC006569)
Source: RNAcentral
UGAUAACUUUCAGGGAAAGUCCGAUUUUAGAGCUCCUCUACUCACGGGUUCUAACAACUACAAUUGGUGUAAAGGCCAAAUGGAGGCUCAUCUGUCCAGAGAUCCCUUAAUGCAAAGAGUGGUGCAAAGAGGUCCUUAUGAAUAUCUUGAUAAAGAUGGCAAAGUCAAGGACGUUGAUGUUCUCACAGUGGACGAGCUAUCAAAGGUUGCU